GGAAAUAUCUGGGGUCUCUGGAGUGGUGCAAGGAGAACCAAAAGCCCAACUCUCUGACUCUCUAGUGUUUCUCUUUGGCUUUCCAACAGGUGACUUCUUGUUUCUAAUAAACUAGUAGUACUCAUUUUUAAGACUUUGUUCAGUGACAGUUUAUGGAGGCUGAAUAUAUGACCAGCAGAAAUCACAAACAUAUCCAAGUUAUGGGUUUGAGUGCCGCGGACAGUAAGAAGCACAUCAGUGGAAAGCACUAUAAAUAUUUCUACUCAAUUUCCUGCACUGUUGGGUUGUAUAACACUCCCUAGCUCUUUGUGAACAGUUUACUAACUCUUUAUAGACUAGCCACGACUGAACUCCUGGAUUUAUGUGGGACCAACAAGUUGCUGCAGGCCUGGAGCAUCGCCCAGGCUGAGGUUUUGCUGUUUUGAUUCUACGAAAUUAUCUGUCUUCUGCUCAAACAUAAAGCUCCCUGAGGCUCGGGAACACAGCCACGAAGAAGCAGGAGCACAUUUGAUAAAGACUCAGCAAUGCCUUUGCUGGCAGAGCUCGACGCAAGACGCGUAUUUAUUUUUUUAUUUAUUUAUCUUGGAUUACUCCAACAAGGCCGGUGUCCAAUCUAGGACCUUUGGGCACCCUCACACAUCGUUAACAACAUGCUGGUGCCCCAGCAGUGAUAAAGUCAUCGUUUGGCACGGGCUCAGUGGUCAGAAACUGUCCUCAGCUUUACCGCAACCAGCCUUUGGGACUCUCCAAGCACCUUAACAAAGCAGAAGGGGAUUUUUGGUGUCUGUUCCACCAUCAUCCACCAGUUUCAGAAACGUCAAGCGCUUGCAAGGCCUUUCCUUCAGCUCUCUGAAAUCACUUUUUUGGGAAUAAGCUCUAAGAAAUGGGAACGUUCCUGCUGGGAAUGGAAGCACACAAGGGAUCUUUUUUCGGCUGGGAGUGGCUCGCAGUGCUGCUUGCAGUUGCACAAGGGGUAGUUCUUCUGCAGGGGGACUGUUUAAAGGGAAAGAUUUGAUAAAGCCACGAUUCCUACAGCUCCGCUGUUUUUUUCUUCAUCAGGAUAGUGAUUGAAAACACCAGUUGGCUGCGUGGACUCCCAGUUUUGGGAGAAGUUCAUCUGACAGAUUUUCUGCCGGGAAAGAAACUGCCCAGCAUGUCAGAGAGUCCUGGCAAGCACCAUGAGACGCAGGAAAUAAGAGCAGGGAGAGAUCACAAAGCUCUGGAGAAGCUGCUCUUCUGCCAAGCACUCUGAAGAAAGCCAAACAUGGUUGAACACUGUGGAAAAAGAGUUGCCUCCACUUUUUGGAGCAGGACGGCAAGAAAAAAGGUCAUCUGUCCACCGAAGGCUCCCCCAGGUUCUACAGCACAAGCUGACAUCCCCAGUGGGAGGGCUGUAGACAAACCAAACCUUGGAAGCAGCCUCCCAAAUCUGGGGUCAGUCAGGUCAAUGACAACAGGGCAUACCAAGCAACUCCCAGCCUGGCUAGGAUGCAAAGAAGAAAAAGUCAUGAUUUGAGAGUCAUGUUUCUUCAAAGCAGGAUCCUCCUUCAGCUCUGGAACAGGAUGAUGCUGAGAGCUCCCUAAAUAAGCUCUUGUUUCAAGAUGACCCAGAAGAUUUCAGGAAGAGCUGGAAGAUGGCAUCUCCCAAAGGCACACCAAUAUCUGAAGAAGCCAAAGCAGUAAAAUAGAUGAGCUAUCUUGUGCUGUAAAUUUCCAAUAGGAUUGACUGGGAGGGCUCACGAAGAUUUCACGAUUUGGAUGAGGGAUUCUCUAAGGAGAGCUCAGAUUUGAAGGAAAACUGUGGGAGAAUAGGUUGGGUUUUUGGAUUUCUACCUGUGUGCCAGGGGUUACUGGGAUCGGUGGUUUAAUUCUAAGCAGGCUUCAGCUUGAGUUAAAAAGAGCUUUGUCUGCAGCACACAGAUCUCCACAUGCCAGACUCCUGCCGGGAGCCACUUCUCCACUGGAAAAUCUCUGUAAGGUGAAAAAAGAUGGAAAAGCCCUGCAGCAGGCAAGCCCUGCCAGUCCCAUUUGCUCAGGCUUCUCCUUACCCUGAACCUCACUGGGAAGUUGCAUGAGCUCAGGAUCUCCAUAGCAGAGAGAAGUCACAUCCUCUGUCCCCAAAGCAUUGCUUCCAGUCCAGCUGAGGGAAGACCCCCAGCUUCACUAAGUGCAAGCGAAGGACUUCUGGUUCCCUGCAGUAGAGGGCAGCAAUGACACAUACACACAAAAUAACCACUUAAUGACAAAUG
RNAcentral lists this long non-coding RNA (2249 nucleotides) under Gallus gallus (chicken). RNAcentral describes it as "lncRNA (ENSGALG00010019142.1)". Lineage: Eukaryota; Metazoa; Chordata; Aves; Galliformes; Phasianidae. The record is from RNAcentral.